This 384-nucleotide ribosomal RNA is filed under the name Gyrodinium sp. RNAcentral's name for it is "partial small subunit ribosomal RNA". It matches the Rfam family "Eukaryotic small subunit ribosomal RNA", at positions 587 to 975 of the family's 1831-position model. Lineage: Eukaryota; Dinophyceae; Gymnodiniales; Gymnodiniaceae. The record is from RNAcentral.
AGCUCCAAUAGCGUAUAUUAAAGUUGUUGCGGUUAAAAAGCUCGUAGUUGGAUUUCUGCUGAGGACGACCGGUCCGCCCUCUGGGUGAGUAUCUGGCUUGGCCUUGGCAUCUUCUUGGAGAACGUAGCUGCACUUGACUGUGUGGUGCGGUAUCCAGGACUCUUACUUUGAGGAGAUUAGAGUGUUUCAAGCAGGCGCACGCCUUGAAUACAUUAGCAUGGAAUAAUAAGAUAGGACCUUGGUUCUAUUUUGUUGGUUUCUAAAGCUGAGGUAAUGAUUAAUAGGGAUAGUUGGGGGCAUUCGUAUUUAACUGUCAAUGGUGGAAUUCUUUGAUUUGUUAAAGACGGACUACUGCGAAAGCAUUUGCCAAGGAUGUUUUCAUUG